Long non-coding RNA from Calliphora vicina (urban bluebottle blowfly), 1180 nucleotides. RefSeq lists it as uncharacterized. NCBI's taxonomy places the organism in Eukaryota, Metazoa, Arthropoda, Insecta, Diptera, Calliphoridae. The record is from RefSeq and is a predicted model, not a curated record. The transcript is spliced from 2 exons.
UGUAACACAAAGGGAAGUUUAAUGGACCCAAGUGAGCUGUGCAAAUAUUCUUUAGAGCGGCUACCUGCUAAACUAAACAAAUGUCCUUAGAAGUUGUAAUGUCUGGCACCUUAACAAUUGCGUACUCUACCCCUCUGAUGGCUCUAAAAGGGAUAUUGGGGUCAGUGGAGGUUUCAUCAUAGACGAUUAUGGGACAAAUUUUACUUAUAGAAUUCCUUGGUGAGCAAAUAAGGUUAUUUCUUUUAUUACAGGGUACUGCAUAAUUGGAACACAUGCCAGAAGGAUGGGCCUACGGUUUAACUAUUUCUUUAGAAGUUGUCGAAAUGAAGAAGAGAAGGAGACUGUGUCCCACCUAUUCUGCCAAACUUGAGGGAACGUACUCUUGUGUUUGGAUGAGUUAUCAAGGAUGAAACAUUCCUUCAUCAUAGAAUCUGGCUGGUUAACCUUGGAAAUUACGCAUGUUAUAAAUUACCUGCUGUUUACUAAUGGGAUCAGUUAUGAAUGGACCCAAAGGAAGCUGUCCGUUUGGGAAUUUCAGUUGGGAUGAUAAAAUUUUGGUAAUUUCAACUGACUAUUUGAUGCUAGAACCGAACUAAUGUACUGAUAUAAUGAAAUCAUUCGCUUGCAAACAAAUUUGAUGAUUACAACAAAUCCGUUUUCUCUGAGCCGAAAUCAUACUCAAAACCAAAAAUGAUGGAGAAGACUUUUAAGGACACAAAGAAACCUUUCAGAGCAAGAACUGAAACAGUAUAUAAAAUUGAUUAAUAUAACAUACUUACCUUUAUUUAAAUCCCAUUUAAUGUAUGUAUGUAAUACUAGUAUUUUGUUUUAUAUUCUUAUUUUAUUUAUAAUUUUCAUUUUAUUUAAAAUAAAUUUAAGAUUUUAAUUAAAUGAGGAAAAACUAAAGGUCUCAAUAAACCAAAGAAUAUUAUAAUAGCGAUAAUGAUUUAUAUAAUUAUGAAUAUUGGUCUGUUAAAAACUAAAAUUUUUAUUUUUAUUUAAAAUUCUAAAAUUUUGAAAAUGUUAUCAUCAGCGGAAAAAAACUUUAUCUAUGGUAUUUUAGUUGCUGUUGGAUGAUAUAUGACUUUGGUUUACUAAGUGAUAAGUUUUAUUAUAUUUAAUCAUUUAAGUUGAAAUGAAAGUUAAAAUAAAGAAAAUCAUGUGAUCGAUUAUAUUGGUA